Long non-coding RNA from Athalia rosae (coleseed sawfly), 1704 nucleotides. RefSeq lists it as uncharacterized. NCBI's taxonomy places the organism in Eukaryota, Metazoa, Arthropoda, Insecta, Hymenoptera, Athaliidae. The record is from RefSeq and is a predicted model, not a curated record. The transcript is spliced from 2 exons.
UCUACUUAUGAACACGGUUUGUGUACAUACAUACAUAUAUAGGACUGAAUUGUUUUUCUUCUUACGUUCUUCGUUGAAUUUUUAGAUAUAAUUUAUGACAUGUACGCAUAUAAAUACAUAAUGUACACGUGUAAUCGUAUAAGCAUAGGUAUAGGUAUGUCGGAGGGCGUUGCAAAACUCUACGUCUCAUGACGCCAAAUCAGUAAAACAGAACACAAUGUUUAACAAAACUUUAUGUAAAGAAACUGGGAAUUGAACUUUAACAAACGCAAAUGAAGAAUUAACAAUAAUAAUUAUAAUUUUCUCAAAAUUUGCACCGAAAGAGACGUAAGCGGUUCCGUGUCGGUUUCUUUUCCUUUUUCCGACAUUCAAUUUUUAUUCAAAUGAAUUUUCAAUCGAAAGAAUUGUUUUUCCAUUCACGACUCCGCUCGAGCAUGUGUUUCUGAACAAACUUACAGCUCCGCCCCUCUCGAUACAACACAUCUCAAAACCAUGUUCCACCGAUAGGUAUAAUAUACCUAUAAUACAUGGGGGCGGGUAACCGCAUGGUAUACCCGUUGAUGAAAAAUUGAAGAACGGAAGAAAGGGAAAGAGAGAAACUGAGAGAAGAAGCGAAAGGAAUAUAUACAGGGAUCAGUCGCUCGCAGUAACAUCUCGAGUCUCAACCUAUUAUGAUUACGGAUAAAUCAGGCGUAGGAGCUCCAGAGUAACCCGAGAGUACCGGAACCCUCCUCCUUCUUUUUCUUCUCUUCGUCUUGUAUAAUAUCUUUCCACUUUUUUUCUUGCUUCUCCUCCCCCGCCCCUUUUGCUCCCGUAGCGUUUAGGGUGAUACACUUAAUUACAUACCUUCGCUUAAACAAGAUAUUCAUUAUACCUACGCAUACGUAGCCAUGGUUAUCAUUAGCUAUUGUUGAUACAAAUAUAUGUAUCACUUUUUUGUGUGCAUGUGCAAUAUGUACCACUUUAGAAAUGGUUGAAUAGUUUAAUUUUAAGAUAGUUUAUCAUUUUAUAUGUACGACUUCUAUAUUUAACCGAAAAUUUAUAAUUUUUAAGCUGUCGUGCGUGUAAUGUAUAGUAUAUUCGGUUGCAAAUUCGAAUGACUGAUAUAAAAGACGGGGGUAACGUUUAAUAAACGUGAAAAUUAAAAAAAUUCAGAGCCAGUGCAUAUGCGCCAUCCGCCGGCGAUUCAUUAGCAAACCGUGUCUCCUGUGUUCGUCGUUGUAAAAACUUAGUACGAAGUGAUUCAUUAACGGAAAUUCCAACGCGACAAAAUCGAAGUCCGAGACUUGGGCUGUUUUAGUGGUUUUCAAAAUUUUUAGAACAAUUCAUUGAAAAAAAAAACAGUUAUAGUUUGAUUGGGUCCACGUGGCGUUGCCGGUACAGGCGGUGUUGGAGAGGUUGAUAAAGAUGGCGAAGGGGACGGUGAAAAAGACGGAGAUCUUGACGAAGAAGGCGAAGGUGAUGGGGAAGGUGACGGUGACGGUGAUGGGGAGGAUAUUUUUGUAUUUGUUGCCGCUCCACCAGCACUUCCAGAUAAUUCUUUCGACGAUGAUUUUAUUCGCGUUUUUGUUGUUGCCCGAUGCGGCGGCCUGCUGCCCAUUAUAUUAUACGGUUGUUACUUAUAAUUAGUCUUGUCAGCAAUAUUUCGACGCGUUCAUUAAUUAGUCGAAAUAAUAAAAAUAUCGAAUCAUACGUAUUACAAAA